AUGCCAUUACUGCGCAGCAGUACUCGCCAAGCACGUCUGAGGUUCAGGAAGCUUGACGAUCAACAAGCAGAGCCGGCUGUGAAACCGGUGCCACCUGCUCCACAGAGAGCAGGGAAGCACGUUCAUAUACCUGCUGCCAGGGGCAGAAAGGGUGCUCCUUGGAGAAGAGUGGUGCCGGCACCAAGGCGUGCAAGAAAGGGGGCGGAAGUUGUUGACUUGGAUGCUAACCUGGGUUCUGAACACCUCCCUAAAGCUGUUGCCAUACAUGCAGUUGUUUGUGAAUCCAAGGACCCUGCUUUGAACAAGGUUGCUCAGGGUGUCGGCAAUAAAGGUUUGAGAAUGGAUGGUGAAAGUGCUGAGAAGCUUGUCGGCGCUGAAGACGAUUCAACAAUAGCACCAAUCCCGGAGAGGGUUCACGUAGGUAAUUCUCCUGUGUAUAUAACUGACAGGAAACUAGGUAAAGGUGGCUUUGGUCAAGUGUAUGUUGGUAGAAGGGUAUCUGGUGGGACUGCUCGCACUGGUCCUGAUGCAUAUGAGGUUGCAUUGAAGUUUGAGCACCGGAGUAGUAAAGGGUGCAAUUUUGCCCCCCCAUAUGAGUGGCAAGUUUAUCAGACUCUCAGCGGCUGCUAUGGUGUACCGGCAGUCCACUAUAAGGGCCGGCAGGGCGACUACUUUAUCCUUGUAAUGGAUAUCCUUGGUCCCAGUCUUUGGGAUGUAUGGAAUUCGCUGGGACAAGCGAUGUCUCCACAUAUGGCUGCUUGCAUUGCUGUAGAAGCCAUAUCAAUUCUUGAGAAGUUUCAUUCCAAAGGGUUUGUUCAUGGUGAUGUGAAACCAGAGAACUUUCUGCUUGGUCUGCCUGGAUCACCUGAGGAGAAGAAGCUUUUCCUUAUUGAUCUUGGUUUAGCAUCAAGGUGGAGAGAUUCGUCAGGUCAACAUGUUGAUUAUGAUCAAAGGCCUGAUAUCUUCAGGGGCACAAUUAGAUAUGCAAGUGCUCAUGCUCAUCUAGGUCGUACAGGUAGUAGGAGGGAUGAUUUAGAGUCAUUGGCAUACACCCUUAUAUUUUUAAUAAAAGGAAGAUUGCCUUGGCAAGGCUACCAGGGAGAUACCAAGAGUUUCCUUGUUUGCAAGAAAAAAAUGGCUACCUCUCCGGAUAUGUUAUGCAGUUUCUGCCCACCUCCGUUCAAACAGUUUCUUGAGUCUGUCACAAAUAUGAAAUUUGAUGAAGAGCCAAAUUACGCCAAACUUAUUUCUCUCUUUGAAAGUUUGAUUGAAUCACCUGCGUCAAGGCCCAUCAGAAUUGAUGGGGCCCUUAAGGUGGGGCAAAAACGUGGAAGGCUACUUGUAAAUCAUGAAGAAGAUGAUCAGCCUAAGAAGAAAGUUAGAUUAGGGAGCCCAGCAUCACAGUGGAUUUCAGUUUACAAUGCCAGGCGCCCUAUGAAGCAGCGGUAUCAUUACAAUGUGGCUGACAACAGGCUUCAACAGCAUAUAGAAAAGGGUAAUGAGGAUGGUCUAUACAUCAGUUGUGUGGCUUCUUCAGCAAACCUUUGGGCUCUCAUUAUGGAUGCAGGAACUGGUUUCGGUUCUCAGGUUCAUGAACUCUCACCUGUUUUUCUACAUAAGGACUGGAUAAUGGAUCAGUGGGAGAAAAGUUUCUACAUAACAGCAAUAGCUGGAGCAUUGAACGGAAGUUCAUUGGUUGUAAUGUCUAAAGGAACUCCUUACACUCAACAAUCAUACAAGGUUAGCGAAUCAUUCCCCUUCAAGUGGAUCAAUAAAAAGUGGAAAGAAGGUUUUCAUGUAACAUCUAUGGCCACAGCUGGAAAUCGCUGGGGAGUAGUCAUGUCAAGGAACUCUGGCUAUUCUGGACAGAUUGUUGAGUUGGAUUUCCUGUAUCCAAGUGAAGGCAUCCAUUGGCGAUGGGAGCAUGGUUACAGAAUAACUUCUUCAGCAGCUACCGGUGAUCAAGCCGCUUUUAUCUUGAGCAAGCCAAAACGGAAACCAGUAGACGAGACACAAGAAACUCUACGGACCUCAGCCUUUCCCAGCAACCAUGUAAAGGAUAAAUGGGCCAAGAAUCUGUACAUUGCUUCAAUCUGCUACGGGAGAACUGUCAGUUGA
RNAcentral lists this ribosomal RNA (2118 nucleotides) under Triticum aestivum (bread wheat). RNAcentral's name for it is "partial small subunit ribosomal RNA". Lineage: Eukaryota; Viridiplantae; Streptophyta; Magnoliopsida; Poales; Poaceae. The record is from RNAcentral.